This 150-nucleotide small nuclear RNA is filed under the name Amazona collaria (yellow-billed parrot). RNAcentral describes it as "U1 spliceosomal RNA (ENSACOG00000014277.1)". It matches the Rfam family "U1 spliceosomal RNA". Rfam says of the family: U1 is a small nuclear RNA (snRNA) component of the spliceosome (involved in pre-mRNA splicing). Its 5' end forms complementary base pairs with the 5' splice junction, thus defining the 5' donor site of an intron. The record is from Rfam by way of RNAcentral. Lineage: Eukaryota; Metazoa; Chordata; Aves; Psittaciformes; Psittacidae.
AUUCUUACCUGGCAGAGGAGACACCAUGAUCAAGCAGGUGGUAUUCCCUGAGCAAGGCUCAUCCUUUGCACUUCGGGUGCGCUGUCCCCUGUGAUUUCCCCAAAUGUGGGAAACUCAACUGCAUAAUUUGUGGUAGUGGGGUUGUUUUUU